This 434-nucleotide ribosomal RNA is filed under the name uncultured bacterium. RNAcentral describes it as "bacterial SSU rRNA". It matches the Rfam family "Bacterial small subunit ribosomal RNA", at positions 351 to 782 of the family's 1533-position model. The record is from RNAcentral.
GCAGUGAGGAAUAUUGGACAAUGGGUGAGAGCCUGAUCCAGCCAUCCCGCGUGAAGGACGACGGUUCUAUGGAUUGUAAACUUCUUUUAUAUAGGGAUAAACCUACUCUCGUGAGAGUAGCUGAAGGUACUAUAUGAAUAAGCACCGGCUAACUCCGUGCCAGCAGCCGCGGUAAUACGGAGGGUGCAAGCGUUAUCCGGAUUUAUUGGGUUUAAAGGGUCCGUAGGCGGACUCGUAAGUCAGUGGUGAAAUCUCAUAGCUUAACUAUGAAACUGCCAUUGAUACUGCGGGUCUUGAGUAAAGUAGAAGUGGCUGGAAUAAGUAGUGUAGCGGUGAAAUGCAUAGAUAUUACUUAGAACACCAAUUGCGAAGGCAGGUCACUAUGUUUUAACUGACGCUGAUGGACGAAAGCGUGGGGAGCGAACAGGAUUAGA